Amphibalanus amphitrite is the source of this 257-nucleotide long non-coding RNA. RefSeq lists it as uncharacterized. The record is from RefSeq and is a predicted model, not a curated record. NCBI's taxonomy places the organism in Eukaryota, Metazoa, Arthropoda, Thecostraca, Balanomorpha, Balanidae. The transcript is spliced from 3 exons.
CGAAUAUUUACAUUGAGCGUUUUGCCAAGGGAGGAUGAGAGCUGCGUGGUAUCAGUGUUGGUGAAUCAUGCGCGUGAGGCGUGAGGCUCAUAGAUCGGCUCACUUGAUGCAGCCCAAGAUGCUGCCGUACGGCCACGGCGUCGUUACACAGCUGAGCUCGAUGCCGAACUCCUGAGAUGAACAUCGUGUCACCACUUGCCAGCCAAAGAUUCCCGCUCAAGUUGGAUGUUUCGUUUGGAGCUGCAUGCACGUCACAG